UCACAGUCUUGAUAGAAAUAGUUUAUAUCCACACAAUCUCAUCUUCUUUACAAGUUCAAACUCAUACUAAACUUUGAGUAAUAUACAUAUGGCUUGAAGAUGAACACAGAAACCAAAACUAAAACACAUUAAAGUGAAAAACUCAGAUGUCUAAAAAUUGCAUAUAUGUAAUAUAUGUAAUGUUCAUGGUCAUGGCUAAAGGUACAUUUAGUUUCUAGCAGAGCCAAACUCUCAUGCUUUGCUGAUAAAGUAUGGGCUUCUGGGUCUUUCCAAAAAAGUUGCUGUCAAACACUAUGGCAGUCUCUCGCCAACCUUAAUUUUUGUCAAAAUAAUGGACAGAAUCCCACUUACUCAGACUCAAGGCAAAGGACUUCAAGUCUCCUGUAAGUAGCGGUGCGGUGGCAAUUGAGUAACUUGUAUUAAGACAGCUAGACUCAGACAGUUACUUAUAAUUUUUCAAAUUAGUUAAAAGUAGCAGCUACUUUUUUUUACAGAGUUUUCAGAUGCAGAAUCUCAGACAGCAUAAAUCAUCAGAUCCAUUGAAGUCUACUGGAAUUGAGGUAAUUUACAUCAGAUAAGAAUCUAAAUUAUCAUUGAAGAUACAGACUCACUACAGGAAUAUAAAAUGAGAAAUGCUGCCUAGUGGAUAUAGCAAAAAGUCUGGAAAAGCAUUUGAUCUGAUUGUGUCAGUCAGUCCAUAUGUUAAAAGAAAGGUGUGAUAGUCUUGGGAAUUCCUGACAACUUGUGGGUUUAAUUGUAAUUUAAAGUGCAGAUUAGACUCACCAUUUUGUAGCAGGAACAAGAUUAUAUCUAUGGAAUAGAAACACACUUCAAGAGUACCUCAGCCAGGAAUACUUUCAGCCUGGAAGAGCAGUUAGGCUUUUACUACAAACACCAGUUAUCACAGCAUUUUGAUAUAAAUCUGGUGUGUAUCCCAGUAAAAUCUCAUCUCAAGUCAAAGAAACUUGGGCUCUUUCAAAAGAGAAACCUCCUUCAGUCUAAAGGCAGAAAGUAGGAGUGGAGAAAGGAGGAUGGAAGGGGCUUUUCCUCCUUUCCACAAAACCAUAGAUAAAACAUAUUUUCUUCUGAUGCCCAUGAAAAAGGAAGAUAUGAUGGUCAAGUGCAGUUGGGAAUAGACCAGCAAAUGCUGUGCUGUGUUGCAAGGUUUCUUCUUGUGACCUUGUUGCAACACAAAGAAUAGCACCUGAGAUGUAGGACUCUAGUAGGAGAAGGCAAAAUUCAGCCUGGAGGUUGCUAUCAUCUCAUAAUGUUGUAUUUCGAAACCUCCUGUCAGUGAGAGUUGUCUGGCAGAGUUUUUGCCAGGGCAGAGACACACAUAGAUUCAAAGUUAAAGGUGAUUCUUAGAAACAUCUCCAUCUUAAAAGCAUUUCAAUACAGCAAUGGAGUUCCCAAGGCAUGGAAACACAGGACCACCCACCCCAGAAUUUCAGACAUAAGAUAUCGGGAAUAGUUUACAGUCUGAUUAUUUGCUUAUUCUGCUGGUUUUGUGUGGGGUAGAUCUAAUUUUCUUCAUAGUAGUGUGGCUUUUCGGGGGUCACUUGCGGCUUUCCCCCGUCCCUCCCCGGCCCCCUGGGACCCCUCCGGCUAGCUGUCCCCUCAAGGGACCGGGGUUUGCCGAGGUCCUGCUGCACUGGGCUUACCAGGCAGCAGCUGGGUCUGCACAGUCCGAGCGGCGGUGCGCCUCGGUCGCCGCAAGGAUUCGGGAUAAAGAGAUGAAGAGAGGUCAAUUGUGUGCAGUCCAGAGAGAUUGUAUUGCCUGAACGGUUGUAGGGCCAAAAGAUCCUGGGCUACUGCCCAGAUACAGUUUUAUACAGCAAAAUUAAGAGAUAAGGUCUAAACAAUAGAGACAGUGUCCAGCAUGGGCUCAUCAGAACCUCCCCAGGGGUCAGGUCCAAUGGGAACUGCUCAGGGGUGGGGAGAAGGGGGUUUACAGAAAAAUGCUGAAGCAAAACUUUCCCGAAAGAAUGGGGCAUACAUAAAUGUAUCUUUUCCUCAUACCUAAAUGUAUCUUUUCCUCAGUUUCCAAUUCUCAAGGCCUUUCUAAAACCCUUCCUCCACACUACCUCACCAGCGCGAUAGCAACAAUAGUAGCUGAUGUGCUGCUGUGUUUUGGAAUUGUGAUCAACACAGAGUUCAUAACAGAGAUUUUUUUGUUGCUAAGCAGAGCUUGCACAGAGCCAAGGCCUUUUCUGCUUUUCAUACUGCCAUGCUGCCAUCCUGCUUCCCUAUGCAGGGAUGUUGAGGGUGCCUGGGAAGCUGUGAGGAGACACAGCCAGGACAGGUGACCUCAACUGACUAAAGGGCUAUUCCAGACCACAUGGCAUCAUGCUCACUAUAUAAAGUAGGGGAAGAGGAGAAAAGGGGGACACCUGGAGUGAGGAGUUUAUUUUCUCAGGUCACCAUUAUGUAUGAUUAGGCCCUGCUCUCCCAGAGACAGCUGAACUCCUGCCUGCCCAUGGCAAGCAGUGAAUUCACGCCUUGUUUUUUUUUGCUUGCACACGCAGCUUUUCUUUCCCUGUUACACUGUCUGUACCACAGCUCAUCAGUUCUCUCUUUUAUCCUUCUGAUUCUUUCCCUGAUCCUGCUGGUGGAGCAGUGAGCAAGCAGCUGCCUGGAGCUUGGUUGCUAGCUGGUGUUAAACCACAACCAUGGAUUCCCAGAGUAGUUUAAGGACAGUCAAACAGUUACUCUGAUGUGAAGAUGAUUAGGAAGGAGUUACCCUUCAAUGACUCUACCAGUGAAACCAUAAGGCAGUCUGAUUAGAAAAAACUACUGAUAAAAAAGAAAAAAUAAUCUCUUCAAAAGUAAAAUAAUGUUCAGCAGCUUAGUGAGAAAUUGGCUUCAUCUGAAGAGAGGCUAAGCUCUGGAGCUACUGAUAUCAAUGGCAGCUCCCUCCUGGUCAAUGCUGCAAUGAGGAGGUGACCAGUGUUACCUAUGUGGCAGUGUUACUAAGGACACUACUGUGGUUCUUCCUUCUCUGGACUACUUGAAAUUAUGCAAUUUAUUAUCUUCUUCAAUAUGGGACAAGAAAACUUUCUUUGUGAUGUCUUUUUGUAAAUUAAAAAAAAAAAAAGUAAUAAUUUUAAACACAUCCCUUUUUUAUCAGUAUCAAAAGAGUUAAAGAAGUCUGGAGACUCGUAUAGGAUACCAAGGCCAACUUUGUACCAAAGACCUGCUGACAGGAAUUGCUAUCAGGUAUAAGGUUUAAGCCUGGAGAAAAUGUAACACAAAAAUUCAGAUGAUCUGUCAUAAAGAAAAAUGAGUGACAACAUGUGGGAUUUUUUAAAAUCAGAGGGUUUUGGGCAUGUUGCAAAAGGCAGGCCUCAGAGACAGCAAGCUGGCGAUUUAGAGCUAAGCAGUAGCUAUAAGAUUUGUCAGCAAAAAAAUUAUACAAGAAGUAGAAAGAAAAGACAAAUAGAACAAUGGUCUGUGUAUUAACGCUUGGGUAGAGUAACUCCCUAAGUUACAGAAAAGUAUAUCUAGUGAGAUAUUAAGAAAUUUUAAGCUUAAUAAUAGAGUUCUGUGCAUUGUAUCUUAAGACUUACAAGCAAGUAUAGUAUUCAAAACAAGCAAGCAUUAUUUUAACCAAAGGUAUGUGUGCUUAUAGUGGUUAGAUAAAAUUACUGUCUUUAUGCUUUUGCUUUGUGUGAUUGGUCAAAAAGCUUUUAAAGUAAGUUGUAACAUUAAGUUCUUAGUCUGCUGCCUGGGAUGAGAGUUGCUGGCCUCUUCCCAUUGUCAUAACCAUAGAACGAGACUGAUGCUAAAAAUUAAACAGCUCGAGAUGCAUUCCUCAGCAGUCCCGUCCCGUUUGUGAUUUGUACAUAGUCCACCAACCAGCAAUAACAGCAGAAAAACAAAUAUUCAGUUCUUGUUAGAGUCUACUUGGAAUGCUGAGCUCAUUGAAACAUGGUCCUUAACUUAUUUUAAAUUUCUUAUGUAAUUAUACCCUGUUUUCAAGUUCUUGUCACUGCACAGAGGUCCCUUUUGUGUAAGUUCGUAUUCAGGUCAGUUCAGAGAAGCUUCACAGACAUCAGAGACAAGACAUUGUUCUUCUGCCAAUUUGGUUUUGUCCCAUGCUGCAAGAAAGCUGAACUAGCCACUGUAAGGGAUAUUUGUGUCUUUUAUUGCUUGCAGAAAGGAAGUUUUCAGCCAAGGAAGGAUACCAUUUUAGUUUUCUGUGCAGAAAGAGGAACCGACUUGGUGUGUAAAUAAUGAUAAGGUAAUCUUGCUAAUUACUUCUGCAUUUUUCUUUUGAAGAACGAAAUACCACUUCACAAACAAAAGACAGAAUACAAGUUGGAAGUUUUGGAUAAGCUAAAAAAACAAGUGUCAAUAUGGACAUACCCUUGUUGCAUUUAAAAUCAUAUGAGCACAUAUGACUUAAUAAAGGAUCUUAAACUGUUAAUCCAGAAUGGGAUUCCACUUUCUGUACAUGACUACAGACAUGUAGUGAUCCAGAAUCACCAGAUAAACUAUUAAUGCAGAAGACUAUUGUUGAGAAACUGGAAUAAGCAGAACAAGAGUGCUACAAUUCCAUGUGUGGCUGGCUCUCUUCCGUGAACAUCGUUAGAAUGGAUUCUCAGGCAGUCUGGAUCCCUUGCCACACUACAUCAUUUACAACUUAAGAAAGGACAUAUCCUUUCUUAAACAGCUGCAGCUGCCCUUAAGUUCCAGUACAAAUGGUAGCCUCCACAGACAAAAAAAAUGGAAUAUGAAGUAAAUCCACAGGAGAGCUGAAGGAAGAACCAAAACAACUUUGCUCCCCAUCAAAGAUAAAACUAGAACAUCCACUUUGACCAUCCACUGGGCUGACCUGUUUUGUCAGAGAAGUCUCUGUGCUGUCAUGAACUAUUGCUGAGUUGAGCUACAAUACCUAUUUUAAGACAGGUAUCUCUUGAAGUUAAAACUAGAGAUGGAAAGCCCAUCAUAAUUUACUUUAAACUGUUUCAGUAGUUAAACGAUCUGUAUUUAGGCAAAAUCAUACCAGUCAGUCCCAAUCUGAUUUUGUUCAGCUUCCAACAUUCAGCAAUCAGAUCCUUUUAUGUCUGUCAACCAGAUGGAAAAGCCAGGUAUCAUUUCAUGGCAAAUACUUUUGAACUGCAGUCUAUACAUAGUUUUGCCUGAUAAAGAGGAAAAGCUUCCUUGUAUCAUGCCACAUGAAUCAAUGACUUUUCUGGCUUUUCUCUCAACCUUUCCUUAAUACUAAGUAUUCUUGAAUUCUAAACUGCAAAAAGCAAAUUAAAAAGAAAUUUUCAGUGCAAACAUAUAACCAGUAUUGUCUAUGCAAUCCCCAGGAAUUUCUUUUAGCAUAGCCAAGAUUUACACAAGGCAUUUUGACCAAAGUACCAUAUUUAAGAGUCCAUUCAUUGUCACCUCUCUUGACAAAUCUCUCUGCAUCUCUUCAUUCCUCCUUCCAAAUUCCCAAAUCAUAAGUUGUGAACAGAAAAAAAAAGGUAGAAAACCAGCAUCGUCAGUUCUUCUUAGGUCCAGCAAAACAUAAGUUUCUCAAGAUAGAAAGGCAACAGCAGCAUUAGCUUUGCAAUAACAUGACUGAUGAUUAGACUAAGGGAAUUGUCUGCAGACAUGGUUUUAUUCCCUUUUUUGUUACAGCAGUACAUGUGAAAAGAUUAUGCUAGACAGAGAAAAGGUAACAGCAGUGAUGAAUCUAAGGUAUAAGGCAUAUUUUAAAAUACUGGCUCAAAUUUUAAAAGUAGAGUCAAUUUAUAGCAUGGGGAUGUUUUAGCAUUACUCUGAGAUAUUGCAUAAGCAAGUAAUAUAACAGAACACUCUAGAGACGAUCAGAGCCAAAAUAUACAUGGAAACCCAGGACAACAAAUUAGAGGCUUAGAUUCACCUAAAACAAAAGGCUGUUGACUAGAUAAUUCUACUUUUAGAACAACUUGUUCAACUGGCCUUCAGUGGUUCCAUAUUUGGGUGAUUUCUCUGUUCUGAAGAUCUAGAAUUUGAUGUGUAGACUAAAUGUAAAGGUCAUAAAUACAAGAGUAAAAAGGACAUGCUUUCUCUGUUCACAAUUAUUUUACUUUAAUAGUUAUCCACAAAACACUUGUCUGUUUGCAUCCAACUUAUUAAAGCCAUCUGGUCUGUAUUAAUGACUUAUCUUUGUUGUUUAUUAUAUCUUCAAUCCUUAGGGUCAUCUAUGAGUAUCAUUAAUAAUUUUGUACAAUGCUGAUGUAAUUUAAAACAAGCAUUAAAUAACACAUAGCAAAAAAUAAUUCCUAAAAUAAUCCAAAUAUGCAUAUACUUGCUCAGUUAGGAUCCUGCAUUUACUGCUCUGUUUCUGGCUGCCAGUUACUCAAUAUUCUACUAAUCAGCAGGUCAUAUUGAUCACUGGAUCAAUAUCCAAUGGUAUAUAAAAAAGUGGUUUGUUCAGCAUUGCUUGCAAGAGCUGGCAUGACUCAAUGACAAAGGUGUUGACUGCUUCUUCCAGAAAGCAGUGACCUGCAGAGAGACAUGAAGAAGCAAGCUAUAAUUCAAUCAACUUUAAUUCUGCCACACCACAAAUUCCAGUAUAAAGGAUUUCUGCAAGAACAUCACAACAUGUGACAACAAAAAAGUAUUUAUUAGACAAAGUUUAACUGGGAUGACAGGGGACUAAUUCAGAUCUAGAACUUCCUUUUAUAUUACUCUCCUUGUUUCUCAUUCAUCCCACAAUUUUCUGCUUUAUGUGCAGGAAGUAGAACCUUCAUCUUGUCUAAGAAUUGUCAUUCUUCACUUUUUUCCUCAAGUGAACUUGAAACUGUUGAUCAUAAAAAGCUAGUAUUUUUUAGGUAUACUUCACACAAAAUUAUAGCUGUUAUGUGGUCUGAAUCACCACUGGAUAUUAAUAUUUAUAUACUAUUAUGAUUUCACUCAUCAAAGUAAGAUCUGUGCAAAUGGUACCACAAACAUUCUUGCUGAGAUCAGCAUAAACCAAACUGGUAAAUUUUGCAUAAUUGUCAUGCUGCAGAACACAAAGUGUAUUCCUGUAUGGACUGUAGUCUGAAACAUUCUUUUUCAGUUCUCAAGCUACUUUUAAACAGUUGCCUUCUGAAUGCUAAAAUUUCAGAAUUUCAUUGGCAGAUCUUUACAGAGCAUGUCCUGAAUGUUGCCAUGGUUAUACUCUUCAUUUAGUAAACAGUAUGGAAUAAACCCUCAUUCACAGGCAAUAAUGCAACUUAUACUAAUCCCCAGGUACACUUAAACUGGUUCCUUUUCAUUUAAACUCCUUAAACUCUGACUAAGCAGAUCGCAGGUUUCAUUUCCAAAUAGUAUAGGGGACACCAUGCCUUCUAAGAAGUGCCCAGACCUAGUAGCAAUUCUUCACUUCUAGGACCACCGCUGCAGACAAGACAACACGUUCUGAGCAAAGGGAGAAGUUGCCCUCUCCCCCUUAGCAGAUGUGAUGACUGCGACUCAUGAGUAUGGAAGAUGUCACACAGUAUCAAUUAUUGGAAGAGAAAACUGCAGCUUUUGCAAGUCCCAGAGCUAUUUAUGGAGGAUUUUCCUGAUGCUAUAAUCAAUUCCUGAUGCUAUAUACAAUUUCCCUAGUGAUAAAUACCAAUUAGAGGGUGGAGGUGGCAAGGAAUUGUGUUUUUGCAUUUAUUCCGCAAAUCUUACUCUGGUUCUGCCUUCUCUUCCUCACUUAUUCCACCCCUCAUAUCCUAGUGAUUUCUCAUUUUCUUUUGAAAGAAAAGACCUCUAGCUUUUUUAGUGAGCUUCAAAAGCAGUCAUUCAUCUGCGGCAAGCAAAAUUUUGUUUUAAAAGAAUCAAAGACUUUAUGUUUGCAGAGAUAAAUUGAAAAUCAGAGCAGCGUGCAAACCUGGUCAUCCAAGUGUGCACAUGGUUAGUUUUGGUGCCUGGACUGCUGUCCCGAAUGUGAAACCAUGCUCAGGCUGUGCUGCUGCUGCUUCUCAGAACCACUUUAAUCACAAGAACAAAAUUCUUUUGGUGAUGUCUGUAACAAAGCUCUCAGAAUCACAGACUAAAAUUACUGACUGGGAAGCAAUUCUGAGUUAGGAGAAUAUUCUUCCUAGAGAUAGUCUUCUGUCUUAGGCUGGAACACUAACACGACAACUGGACCUUUACUAUAAUUGGGGGAAUUCAGAGGCUUUGCCCAGGUCUUUGCCCAGAGGCUCCAUUUUUGGAACCACUAGAAAAUAUAUUUUACGUGAAACACCAGAAGAGAUUUCUACCCCUCCUGCUCAUGGAUGAUAACAUCUGCAGGGUGACUGAUGGAGACAUCUGCCUAAGUUUGCAGACACUGACUCAUUAACUCUUGUAGUGCUUGAACCACACCACACCACACACAGUGAGUGCAUCUAUUUCCCCGAAGCACCCCAAUACAGCCCAGCAGAAGACAGUGUCUGGCAAUAAGGCAGCUGUCCCAUGAGUCCUGCAUAAUUUAUUAAAGCAAAGAAGCGUGGGGACAAAAAUUCUUGGAACUCUUAAUACUCCCCUGGAAGAGCUCAAAACACUAAGUGUCCAGAAGUGUAAGACCACAUUGUGCCACUAUUAUUCCAAGUGUUGAAGUGCAGAGAGGUGAAUCUCUCAGCUCAUCUUAAUCCCUGGAGCAGGAAAAAAAAAAAAAAAAAAAAAAAAA
Molecule: long non-coding RNA, 8620 nt
Filed under: Taeniopygia guttata (zebra finch)
Lineage: Eukaryota; Metazoa; Chordata; Aves; Passeriformes; Estrildidae
Description: lncRNA (ENSTGUG00000022534.1)
Source: RNAcentral